CUUACUCUCCAACAGAAAGAGAAUAGCAAUAUGUCUCUAACCCAGAUGUGUUUUGUUCUUUUUUUUCUUUGUGUACUUCACUAUUUAUUUACUUCCCUGAUCCUGGAACAAUUAAUAAUACUCCUUUGCUCCUUCUCUAACAAGUUUUAGUUUUUAAAAAACCCUUUUGUACAAAACACCGUACCUCUUUAGUUAUUUGAAAGUACUUGCUUAUGAAGAUAGCUGUUCCUGAAACUAUAUUUAAUAGCCACAUUUCUCUUUGUUGUUUUCCCCAGAAUGUUUGGGAAGAGACAUUUGGCCAGAGAGAGAAACAAAAAUCACCCUUUGUUAGACCGGGAGAAAGAAUUGGAAGCAUUCCGAAUGGCACAGCAAGGGUGUUUGUACCAGAAGAAGGGACAAGCAGUUUUGUAUGGAGGUGAAAAGGGCUAUGGAAAAAGCCAGCUAUUGGCUGAAAUAAACUUCUUGGCCCAGAAAGAGGGGCAUAGGUAAAGACUCCUGCUUUCUGACUUAGUCAGAGCCUACUUCUCUUGGGGCUUCUUUCCCUUGUUGGUGAGACUCUUGUGUCACUAGAUUCAGCACCCUUGGACUGGUGGACUGUGUGUGGUACAGGGGACUCCCAGUGAUCAUAGUAAUGUUCACCAGGGUGUUGCCAUUGAAACUGAAAGAAGCAGAUUCCAAGCGGUGCUUCUAUGCCAUCCAGACCCUCAUGGCUAUCUUCUUUGAGAUUGAUACAUGCCCAGCCUAUUACCGGCAAGAGUGCCUACAAAGACAGCUUCGGCAGAUGAUGAAGGAACCACUUCACUGCCUUUUCAAUGACCUCUUCUUUGUGAAGUUUCCCUUGUCCUUAGAAGUUUCACGCAUGGAUGACCUGGUCAGACAAAAGAAGGUUAAAGCGUUUUUUAUUCAAGUGCUUCAGGAGGUGGGUAGUUUUACUACAUACCAUUAUCUCUUAAUAUGUGGAGAUAGUUUAUGCUCAUUUUAAUCUAUCCACAUCACACCUUGAUGUAGGCAUUUUUUGGCCUGCCUAUUUGUUGAUGUAUUCAUUAUUUAUUGUCUAUCUUUAACCUUGGAUUCAUCCUACAGCACAGCAUACAAGAAAAGGUCUUGGCUUUUCCCUGAUCCUGUUUCUUAAUGAAAUUUUAGUAACUUAAUUUAAAACAGUGUUUUCUAAAUGCAGGUGGAUUGCUAUUUUAUCUACUGUUGAUGAAAAAUACAGAUACUCAGGCUCUACCCCAGGAUCACAGAAUCAAAAAUCUGUAUAAGCAGAAACUCACGUAGCCAUUCGGGAAAGCAAUCUAAAAGUAACUAGUCAAAUUUUAAUAACAUGCAUCUUCUAGACCCAGCAAGCCCACUCCUGGGUAUAUAUAUCCCAAAGAGUAUGUUCAUUUUAGUGUGUGUUUGUGGAGGCCAGGGAGGUGUUGGCAGGAUGCAUGGAUGAACAAGAUUGAAUAAAAUGCAGAAAUUAGGAGUAAGGGAAUAGAUGAAACUAUAGCAAUAUGGAGUAAUCUCAAAACAGUCCUGAAUAAAACAAAAGAGAAAAAUAAUGAGAUCUAUAAUAAAUAGCAUUUACAUAAAAGCAAUUUACUUGAAAAAACAAUAAUGCACAUUUUAUAAGAACAUGAUACAAACAAAAAGCUGCACAAUAAGCACAUUAGAAUGGUCACUGGAGUCAGUGGGGAAUGGAAUGGGAGUGGGAAAUCUGUAUAAAAGUGAAUACAUUUUUAAAGUCUACUUGAGUGGCACCUGAUAGUUGGUAGUGUUGGCAAGCACUCCCAGGUGAUUCUGAUGUGCAGCCUAGUUUGGAAAUUGCUGUUUUAGAGUAUUAUGAAUUCCCACACAGGAUGAAGCCUUUGCCAAAAUGAAAUAUUUGAAAGCUUUAAGUUCAAAAUAUUUGGAAAAUAUUUUGGUGCUUAUUUCAUUUUUCAGUUAGAGUAUUUUUCUUAUCCACAGAAACUCGGUACAUUGCUUUAAGAAUUAAAUAUAUAGGCAGUAUUUUUUUAUUUGUAAAGUAAAAUAUCACCUGGACUGAGAAUACAAUUACUCUGAAAACUCCAGCCUAUGUUGACAUUUUAUUUAAAUUAUUGAUGGCAAUUUGUGGUAGAUUUGAAAACUAGGUGACUCCAUUUCUAAUCAGAGAUUGUUGUUGUUUUCUUUGCUGUUAUUUACAGGCAGUGAGGGAAACACCACUGAUUUUCCUCAUUGAUGAGGCCCAGUAUAUGGAUGCAGCUUCCUGGGAGUUUUUAGGAACGUUGCUCUCCAGUGUGCCCAUCAUCAUGGUGAUGACGUUGACCUCUACCUUCACACUGUGUGGCUGGGCCCAGCACUUCCUGCAGAGCCCGCAGGCUGUUUUUGUGUCCAUUUCGAAGUUGGCAACAACCUCAUUGUUGAGAAUGGCAUGUUGGGAACUAGGGGUGGUGAGCAUCCCCCCAGAGCUGCAGACGUGAGUGGUAGGACCAGCUGGGCAUUUCAUUAAGGGAGGAGCCAGUACCAUAAUAAAAGUCAUAAGGCUCAGGUCUUACUUUCUGGAGUUGGGGGAGAGAAUGGCAUUAGAAAGUGAUGAGGCCCAAGACUAGAUUUAAAGGAGACGGUCUACUUGUAAACUAGUAAGGGGCUACCAACCUGGGCUAUCCACCAAGGUUAUCACAAGACAGUUCGGAUUUGGAUGGCUUGCUUAAUGUGUCAAUUUUAUGUGAUCAGGCCGGUUUCUGACUUUAGUGAGGGGAUGUUGGUUCCUUUUAACAUCAGUAGAAGUAAAAUAGUUGAGAAAGAAAAAUUACUGCCAAAAUGCAUUUCAAAGCCAAUCAGAAAUAAAUUUUUUACAUUUCUAUGCUGCUGCUUCCCUCUGUUAGUAUAUCAUCAAGAGCUAACUUUAAUAAGAGAAGGUUCCUCAGCAUGAAGUACCCUUAUGCUUGGCUCCCCUCAAGUGGGCAUCAUUUUUUUUUUUUUUUUUUUUUUAUUGAGACAGAGUCUCACUCUGUUGCCUGGGCUAGAGUGCCAUAGCAUCAGCCUAGCUCACAGCAACCUCUAACUCCUGGG
This is a long non-coding RNA of Microcebus murinus (gray mouse lemur), 3036 nucleotides long. NCBI's taxonomy places the organism in Eukaryota, Metazoa, Chordata, Mammalia, Primates, Cheirogaleidae. The record is from Ensembl.